RNAcentral lists this long non-coding RNA (1023 nucleotides) under Salvia miltiorrhiza (redroot sage). RNAcentral describes it as "long non-coding RNA (SMIL_LNC001414)". The record is from RNAcentral. Lineage: Eukaryota; Viridiplantae; Streptophyta; Magnoliopsida; Lamiales; Lamiaceae.
CCAAAAUAAAAUACAUGUCACUUUUAAUAGGACGAAGAUGGUAGAUUUAUAGGUUUCACUUUAAUGCUUUCUCCACAUUGUAUUCAAACAAAGUAGAGUAACAAUUGUGCGUGUGUGUUGGCCUAACGGUAAAUGGUUAAUGCUCAAGACCUGAAGUACUGGGUUUGAGUCCACCGUAGUGGAGUCUCUAAAUUGUUUUAAAUUGUUUUAUUUACUUGUGUAAUUUAUCAAAAAAGAAAGAAAGAAAAAAAAGUAGAGUAACAAUCUUGUUUACUUUUUGUAUUAUAAGUAUAUGCAAUAUGAGGAAAUUCUUUAGCUAUUGAAAAAGAAGGCAUGCUAUUUUUCCCCCCAAAUUGUAACAGCUGCAUGAAAUUCACCACUUGAGAAAAACAAGCUACUGCUAAAGAGAUUCAACUUAUUUGCAAACAAAGCUACAUCAACAUUUACAACUACUCCUUAAUUUUAAGAUAACUGCAUCAUAGUUUCAGAUAAACAGACUCACAGUAGAAAACGUUUACAUCUGAUACCUCCACACAAUUCAGCUCCAUUACUAUGUCAGAUGAGUUUAUGCUGUCUCUCAUAUAUAUCAACCAACACUAACCAAGAGUAUCCAUUUCCCCGACAACGACAACGAGCAUCCACCGUGAUAAACAGUAGAAGACGACGCCCUGGAAAUUUCACAACUUGAUAAAAAAAACCAUGCUUUUCAACUCAGCAAGUUACAGAAUGAGCAAAGGAACAGCAAACACAUUUGGUUAUCCCAAUUAUCAAUCAGAGGCAGAGGCCUCCAAGAUGAACUACUUAUUGAGUUAUUUGUAUCAAAUUCCAUCAAACUAGAUUCCAGUUCAGCAUAGCAAGAACAAUCAAGAACAUAAUCACCAAUCUCAACUCAUUAUUUCAUCAAUCAUAGCCUAAGCAGGGAGCUGCAGUUCCACACUUAUCAACAACCAUCCAAAUCCAAUAAUCUACAUAUAACAAGAACACAAAGUAGUUGAAUAAAAUACGAAAAACAAGAAACGCUAC